CCUACGGUGUGCAGCAGUGGGGAAUAUUGCGCAAUGGGCGAAAGCCUGACGCAGCGACGCCGCGUGAGGGAUGAAGGUCUUCGGAUCGUACACCUCUGUCAGCAGGGACGAACGGUCACUGUGCUAAUCAGCAGUGAAUUGACGGUACCUGCAAAGGAAGCACCGGCUAACUCCGUGCCAGCAGCCGCGGUAAUACGGAGGGUGCGAGCGUUAAUCGGAAUUACUGGGCGUAAAGCGCGCGUAGGCGGUAUGUCAAGUCAAGGGUGAAAUCCCCGCGCUCAACGUGGUAACUGCCUUUGAAACUGGGAAACUGGAGUGUGUGAGAGGAUAGUGGAAUUCCAGGUGUAGGAGUGAAAUCCGUAGAUAUCUGGAGGAACAUCAGUGGCGAAGGCGACUAUCUGGCACAUAACUGACGCUGAGGAGCGAAAGCGUGGGUAGCAAACAGGAUUAGAUACCCUGGUAGUC
RNAcentral lists this ribosomal RNA (465 nucleotides) under uncultured bacterium. RNAcentral's name for it is "partial 16S ribosomal RNA". It matches the Rfam family "Bacterial small subunit ribosomal RNA", at positions 338 to 795 of the family's 1533-position model. The record is from RNAcentral.